Molecule: small RNA, 562 nt
Filed under: Pongo abelii (Sumatran orangutan)
Lineage: Eukaryota; Metazoa; Chordata; Mammalia; Primates; Hominidae
Description: retained intron
Source: RNAcentral
GGCAAAGGAGGAAGGGAGGCUCCUCCGAAGACAGCACAAGAGGGGGUGAAGCUGCAGCUGGUGCAGCCCUGGCCCAGAAUUGGGGGAGGGGGGCAGGCAGGCAGAGCCUUAGCUAGGGGAACGGGAGAACCGGGAUCUUCCCAGAGCCUACCACUGGGCCCCUGUGCUGGAGGCUGAGCCUGCACGUCAGUCCCGGCGGAGCCUAGGAGGCCUACCCCCACCCUUUCUACCUCCCCAGAGACGAAGGAGGAGCUGGAAGAACUCAUGUCCGACAUAAAGAAGACAGCAAACAAAGUUCGUUCCAAGUUAAAGAGCAUCGAGCAGUCCAUCGAGCAAGAGGAAGGCCUGAACCGCUCCUCCGCUGACCUGAGGAUCCGGAAGACACAGCACUCCACGCUGUCCAGAAAGUUUGUGGAGGUCAUGUCGGAGUACAACGCCACGCAGUCCGACUACCGCGAGCGCUGCAAGGGCCGCAUCCAAAGGCAACUGGAGAUCACCGGCAGGACCACGACCAGUGAGGAGCUGGAGGACAUGCUGGAGAGUGGGAACCCCGCCAUCUUUG